RNAcentral lists this ribosomal RNA (543 nucleotides) under uncultured Acidobacterium sp. Its description in RNAcentral is "partial 16S ribosomal RNA". The record is from RNAcentral. Lineage: Bacteria; Pseudomonadati; Acidobacteriota; Terriglobia; Terriglobales; Acidobacteriaceae.
UCCAGGCGGAAUGCUUAAUGCGUUAGCUUCGGCACGGAAGGGAUCGAUACCCGCCACACCAAGCACUCAUCGUUUAGGGCUAGGACUACCGGGGUAUCUAAUCCCGUUUGCUCCCCUAGCUUUCGCGCCUCAGCGUCNAUCUCGGUCCAGGAUGCCGCCUUCGCCACCGGUGUUCCUCCAGAUAUCUACGCAUUUCACCGCUACACCUGGAAUUCCACAUCCCUCUCCCGAAUCCAAGCCUCCCAGUAUCAGACGCAGUUCCCAGGUAAAGCCUGGGGCUUUCACGUCCGACUUAGAAGGCCGCCUACGCGCCCUUUACGCCCAGUAAUUCCGAAAAACGCUUGCCACCUCUGUAUUACCGCGGCUGCUGGCACAGAGUUAGCCGGGGCUUCCUCAACCGGUACCGUCAGUCUCCAACGUAUUAAGUUGGAGCUUUUCGUCCCGAUCAACAGGAGUUUACAAUCCGAAGACCUUCAUCCUCCACGCGGCGUUGCGUCUUCAGGCUUGCGCCCAUUGCGAAAAAUUCCCCACUGCUGCCUCCCG